RNAcentral lists this ribosomal RNA (534 nucleotides) under Microtus thomasi (Thomas's pine vole). RNAcentral describes it as "partial 16S ribosomal RNA". It matches the Rfam family "Bacterial large subunit ribosomal RNA", at positions 1850 to 2607 of the family's 2925-position model. Lineage: Eukaryota; Metazoa; Chordata; Mammalia; Rodentia; Cricetidae. The record is from RNAcentral.
GAGGCCUGCCUGCCCAGUGACAAACGUUCAACGGCCGCGGUAUCCUGACCGUGCAAAGGUAGCAUAAUCACUUGUUCCUUAAUUGGGGACUGGAAUGAAUGGCCUCACGAGGAUUCAACUGUCUCUUACCUCUAAUCAGUGAAAUUGACCUCCCCGUGAAGAGGCGGGGAUUCAACAACAAGACGAGAAGACCCUAUGGAGCUUUAAUUUUCUGUCUUAACUACUAAAUAACUAACCCUACUGGGAUAAAAAGAAAGAGAAGUAAGUCAGUAAUUUCGGUUGGGGUGACCUCGGAGAAUAAAACAACCUCCGAAUGAUUUUAACCAAGACAAACAAGUCAAAGUAUUAAAAAUCAAAUUGACCCAAUUCAUUUGAUCAACGGACCAAGUUACCCUAGGGAUAACAGCGCAAUCCUAUUCAAGAGUCCAUAUCGACAAUUAGGGUUUACGACCUCGAUGUUGGAUCAGGACAUCCCAAUGGUGCAGCAGCUAUUAACGGUUCGUUUGUUCAACGAUUAAAGUCCUACGUGAUCUG